GAGUAAACACAGGUUAAAGAGUGUGGGAAGGAUUCUUGAAAUUCUACUUUCAAAGAACUGAUCGCUUGGAAAAUGGAUUUUCAAAAUUAUUGACUGAUUAUGGAGAGAAAAUAAUCAAAGAAAAGAAGAAAAAAAAGAAAUAUAGGGAUAGGAGGAAGGAGAAAGAACAAGCGACGAAAAAUUAUUUACAAAAUUAAUUUCUAAAAUAAAUAUAAA
Long non-coding RNA from Actinia tenebrosa (Australian red waratah sea anemone), 216 nucleotides. RefSeq lists it as uncharacterized. Lineage: Eukaryota; Metazoa; Cnidaria; Anthozoa; Actiniaria; Actiniidae. The record is from RefSeq and is a predicted model, not a curated record.